Molecule: long non-coding RNA, 2208 nt
Organism: Myiozetetes cayanensis
Lineage: Eukaryota; Metazoa; Chordata; Aves; Passeriformes; Tyrannidae
Exons: 3
Source: RefSeq, a predicted model, not a curated record
ACCUUUGCAUGUAGCUCAUUUAUUGUGCCUUCCACGUGAGCACUCACGAAGUUGAAUGAAUUCCUGAAAAAAAGUUACGGAUAGAUCACAGAACCCAAAUUCUGCCUUUAUUUACACGCCUGCAGGUUUCUUGUUCUGUUUGUUCUCUAGCUAAAGUUCACAUGCAUACAGUUGAGAGCACGGAGUUUUUUCUUGUUGCAAGUGUUUUAAAACAGACCAAGGUAUAUUUUGUGAAGGUUUAUCUCAUUGUUAAAUUCCUUGAGGAACAACUACGUGGGUUUUAUAUUUUUUGCUAAAAACACCCAAAACCUAUAAAACAAGGAUUCAUAAACUUUACAAUGAGAUACUGGCAACAGGGUAGCAAAAAUGCCUGGUUUCUUCUGUACCCUGUUUUCUUUUCCUCAAGGAGUGAGACUCCUUUCUAAAACUUUCUUUGUAGGUCUAUUAACUCUUUGAAAUUCAGAAUACUACCUGUGGAUUGGUCUGUCUGAUGCAAUAUACUUUGGGGAAAAUGUUAGAAGUAUUUGCAAGACUUUAGAAAACUGAAACUAAAUCUAAGUAACACAGAUGCACUUUCAAAUUUAAUAUUAUCAUAAACUUCUUUUAGUAAAAAAUGUGAUCUUGGUACUCCCUUAUUAGACAAGCAAAGAGCUGCCAUAGUGAUGCCAAUUAAUUCUUUGCAACAGGCCAUAAGAGAGGAGAUACUUGAUGAAAAUAAAUAUGGUAUUUGCUGCUUCUUCUGAAGCAAUGAGAAGAAAAUGGAGGUAGAGGAAGAUGAAUUUAAAGUAAUAAUCUAAAAUAAUGACACUGGUGGAGAUAAUCUUUAUGCUGAUAUUCAAGAAACCGUUGACCUAAUCAUCAGUGUCCUGCCUGUCAAUGUCCUGAAAACCUUCAUUUUGUUUCUUUCCUCACCCCAUCCCCAUUUUAGCAAUAAACUUUGAUGAGGAAGUGAACAGCUUUUGUGAAGUAUGAAUUUCUCUGAAUUAGUAACAUAUAAUAUUAGUGGCAGCUGUGUGCUAUGUUUAGUGGCUUGUUUUGCUUGGGUACUUUGCAAGAUGAACAGGGAAAAGCUCUUAUAUCUGCUAAAGACAGAUACCUGUAUGCACAUCUUUGGCUUCAUUCUUUCUGGAAAUGUAUCCCUUCACUUCCUCCACAGGUACAGAAUAAUGCAAAAGGAAUUAGGAUUUCUUCUUGUCUGUCCAGUGUAAAUGCACAUCACUGUAAUGAGACUUUCAUAAACCAACUUUCAAGCCCUGACUAUCUCCUUUAACUUGAGAAAUAACAUUAUUCCUCCUCUCUGCUUUCUGCUUGUUAUUUUGUGUUUGCUUUCUUUUUUCUUCUGCUUGCUCUGGUACUGGUGCUGAAUGUCGAUGAGAGGAAAACUUGACUCACUUCCAAGAAGUCUGUUUCAGUGAUUCCUUCCACUACUGUACCGUGGAAAGUUUUCUACCAGAUGCAGUAGAAGAUGGCAGAUCUGGCUGUGCUGGGGGUGCUUUACCCAUGACUGGCACAAAGACCAUUCUGCUCUUUAUCUGUGAGAUAAGAAAAUCUGUAUUUUCUCAAAGAGGUGCUGUAAAGAAAUGGUGUGCUGUAUUCAGAGAACAAAAACCUCUUCUCACUGAAACAAGUCUGAGGUAUUUUUUAUUUUUUAACUCUGUAUUUGAACUGCCAAAAAAUGAAUAUUAUAAAGUACAAAGAAAAUGGUGUACAUUUCAGUCAUCCCUUUAUUUUCUUUUGCUGUUUUUCAUCAGACUAAUGUAUGCAGCAAAGGCCAAGACCUGUUUGACUGGGAUGCCUGCAGUUACCUGUUUAAUCUGGAGUUAGAAUGUAAAUAGAAAUGUAAUUGUUUUCCAAGUAUCUCUUAAAUUUCCCUUUCAGAAUGUCUAGCAGUGUCUACAAACUUAUAAAGGAGUUAUAGGUCCUGUCAUUUUUGAAAUUUAGAUAAUCUCAUUUGAAACUCUGAGUCCAAUACAUGUACAUUUCUCACUUUAAUUUAUGUGAAUUUCUGCUACCCUUGGUUGUUAAUGAGAUGUUGUAGAAUUCAUUUAUUAAAACUAAAUGGAUGUGCACAGUAAUGAGCACGGAGUAGUGUUUGUAACAGUUAUGGUGAUAAUGUGUUGGAGCCAUUAUGGAGGGAAAAUGCUGUUUCACAUGAUUCGAUGUAUUUAUUUUUCUCACACUUUACUGAGCAGUCUGGUUCUGCUUGGC